Molecule: ribosomal RNA, 301 nt
Filed under: uncultured bacterium
Lineage: Bacteria
Description: partial 16S ribosomal RNA
Rfam family: Bacterial small subunit ribosomal RNA
Source: RNAcentral
CAGUAGCCGCGGGAAUACAGAGGGUGCGAGCGUUAAUCGGAUUUACUGGGCGUAAAGCGUGCGUAGGCGGCUUCUUAAGUCGGAUGUGAAAUCCCUGAGCUUAACUUAGGAAUUGCAUUCGAUACUGGGAAGCUAGAGUAUGGGAGAGGAUGGUAGAAUUCCAGGUGUAGCGGUGAAAUGCGUAGAGAUCUGGAGGAAUACCGGUGGCGAAGGCGGCCCCCUGGACAAAGACUGACGCUCAGGUGCGAAAGCGUGGGGAGCAAACAGGAUUAGAGACCCCCGUAGUCCCUGUCUCUUAUAC